UCCCCGUUAUCCUGGGCAGUCCUUCCAGAGUUCCCGGCAUGACCCGUUGGCAACUGGAAGCAGGGGUUGCGCUCGUUGCGGGACUUAACCAAACAUCUCACGACACGAGCUGACGACGGCCAUGCAACAUCUGUCACCGAGUUCAAUAAAGCACUCACUCCUUUCGGAGUAAUUCUCGGGAUGUCAAACCCUGGUAAGGUUCUUCGCUUAGCAUCGAAUUAAAGAACACCAUCCGCUACUUGUGCGGGUCCCCGUCAAUUCCUUUAUGUUUUAGUCUUGCGACCGUACUCCACAGGCGGGAUACUUAACGCGUUAGCUUCGCUACUGAAGGGGUCGAUACCUCCAACAGCUAGUAUCCAUCGUUUACGGCGUGGACUAC
Molecule: unclassified non-coding RNA, 379 nt
Filed under: uncultured bacterium
Lineage: Bacteria
Description: contains 16S-23S intergenic spacer region
Source: RNAcentral